AACGUAGGAGGCGAGCGUUAUCCGGAUUUACUGGGCGUAAAGCGCACGCAGGUGGCACAGCAAGUUGGAUGUGAAAGCUCCUGGCUUAACUGGGAGAGGCCAUUCGAAACUGCUGAGCUUGAGGUUGGGAGAGGGGUGUGGAAUUCCCGGUGUAGUGGUGGAAUGCGUAGAUAUCGGGAGGAACACCAGUGGCGAAAGCGGCACCCUGGCCCACACCUGACGCUGAGGUGCGAAAGCGUGGGGAGUAAAC
Molecule: ribosomal RNA, 250 nt
Filed under: uncultured bacterium
Lineage: Bacteria
Description: partial 16S ribosomal RNA
Rfam family: Bacterial small subunit ribosomal RNA
Source: RNAcentral